This 61-nucleotide transfer RNA is filed under the name Marmota marmota marmota (Alpine marmot). It matches the Rfam family "tRNA", at positions 6 to 65 of the family's 71-position model. From Rfam's summary of the family: Transfer RNA (tRNA) molecules are approximately 80 nucleotides in length. Lineage: Eukaryota; Metazoa; Chordata; Mammalia; Rodentia; Sciuridae. RNAcentral also lists the same sequence under 1 other name. The record is from Rfam by way of RNAcentral.
UGUGGCUCAGUGGUAGAGCAUUUGCCUAGCAAGUUUAAGACCCUGGGUUCCAUUCCCAACA